AAGGGUCAUACUAUGUUUACAAACAUAGUUCAGAUGAUUUAUCGUGAUUAUAUUUAUUUUUAGUCUUUCACCUCUAUCUGAUGACCUUU
Molecule: small nucleolar RNA, 89 nt
Filed under: Phaseolus vulgaris (common bean)
Lineage: Eukaryota; Viridiplantae; Streptophyta; Magnoliopsida; Fabales; Fabaceae
Description: Small nucleolar RNA snR60/Z15/Z230/Z193/J17
Rfam family: Small nucleolar RNA snR60/Z15/Z230/Z193/J17
About the family: The members of this family belong to the C/D class of snoRNAs which contain the C (UGAUGA) and D (CUGA) box motifs. Most of the members of the box C/D family function in directing site-specific 2'-O-methylation of substrate RNAs.
Source: Rfam by way of RNAcentral